RNA transcript from Medicago truncatula (barrel medic), 799 nucleotides. RefSeq lists it as uncharacterized. Lineage: Eukaryota; Viridiplantae; Streptophyta; Magnoliopsida; Fabales; Fabaceae. The record is from RefSeq and is a predicted model, not a curated record. The transcript is spliced from 3 exons.
UAAGGCUUCAAAUCAAUUCUUCUCCUUUUCAUUCAUUCCCAUUUGGCACUACUCUCUCAAAACCCAACAAGAGAUCUGUACAAUAGAAAUCAGAACAACAAGGGUUAGAUUGAGAUUGAGAAGAGAAGAGAAUCAUGGAGUCAUAAUAAGCAUCAUCUCCCGAUUCACAUAUAUCUCCAUCUACCGGUGUCAACCACAACCACUACUACAACUACAAUCACCGCCUCUUAUAUCCAGUCGUAACCUUGCAAUUGCUUUAACGCAAACAGCUUCAUGAAUCAGUCAUGGAUUCCAACUCAAGAAAUCAAACGAAGAAUCUGGUGUUGCCUUUAAUGCCGGCGAUGUUGAUACAAGGGCUGCUGACAGUAACAUGGUUGUAGAAUGUGGCGAUUCGUGUAGCGACACAAACAUUGUCCACACUCCUGUUGGCAAAUCUUCUAUGAAAAGAUCAUCCGGUAAUAUAGAUUCUUCAACGAAUGGAAAUGGCGAGGUUGGACAAGCAUCUGUGACACAGCCCUCGAAGAUGGUGCGCGUCAAAGUUGAAUCAAAGGAUUAGAAUUGCCAAAAUUGAUGUUGACGAGGAGCAUCUAUUUGAUGUUUUUGUUUUAAUUUUUAGUGUUUCACAAGAAUUUAUUCUAUCAAACAAUUAUGAUGGCAGCUGAUGUUCUGCUCAUCUCUUAAGCAAUUUGAGAUUUGGGUUAGAGGAAUAAAAAUCUCUAUGUAAUCGAGCUGUACAAAUAUACUACUAUUGAUUUUUAUUCCAUUGAACUGGGAGUUAAUGAUUUGCUAUUUUUUGGAA